CGGCCGCGUCGACAACGCUGGCGGCGUGCCGUAAUACAUGCAAGUUGAGCGAUGAAGAUUGGUGCUUGCACCAAUUUGAAGAGCAGCGAACGGGUGAGUAACGCGUGGGGAAUCUGCCUUUGAGCGGGGAACAACAUUUGGAAACGAAUGCUAAUACCGCAUAAUAACUUUAAACAUAAGUUUUAAGUUUGAAAGAUGCAAUUGCAUCACUCAAAGAUGAUCCCGCGUUGUAUUAGCUAGUUGGUGAGGUAAAGGCUCACCAAGGCGAUGAUACAUAGCCGACCUGAGAGGGUGAUCGGCCACAUUGGGACUGAGACACGGCCCAAACUCCUACGGGAGGCAGCAGUAGGGAAUCUUCGGCAAUGGACGAAAGUCUGACCGAGCAACGCGCGUGAGUGAAGAAGGUUUUCGGAUCGUAAAACUCUGUUGGUAGAGAAGAACGUUGGUGAGAGUGGAAAGCUCAUCAAGUGACGGUAACUACCCGAGAAAGGGACGGACUAACUACGUGCCAGCACGCGUCGGUAAUACGUAGGUACCCGG
Molecule: ribosomal RNA, 540 nt
Filed under: uncultured bacterium
Lineage: Bacteria
Description: bacterial SSU rRNA
Rfam family: Bacterial small subunit ribosomal RNA
Source: RNAcentral